UGCCUACGGGCCAGUAUUAUUAAAACAUCCAUUAGUGAUGUAUGCCUACGGGCCAACCAUAUUAAAACAUCCAUUAGAGGUGUAGUGCCUAUGGGCCAUAAUAAUUGUCUUAUAAAGACAAAAGGCAGUGGUAGUCUAUGACUCUCUGUCAGAAAGAGAUAAAAGAACUACGGUUCAAUUCUCUAUGCCUUUGAUUCUCUGAAAUCUCGGAUAAUAUUAUAAAACAUCAUCAUGAUUAGGCUUUAUGCCGCCAAUACUAUUUAUAUAGCUGAAAUAGGAUAUAUUCAAAUCCUAAUAUUUAAUGAAAUAAUAAGUUAACCAAAUAUGGUCUCUGUACCAUGGUUGACAAAUUGUCAUAAAAGACAAUUAUAUAAUAAUCGCCUAAAUAAAAUUUUGUUAUCUUCUGUAACAGAUUCAAGUUACAAUGGCGGAUCCCAAUGGAGAGAACAGCCACACAAAUGAAGAUGACUAUGACAAUACGCCAGUGCAUCUGACAGGCGCACAACUGAAGGCUCUGAUUGACAAUGCUGUUCAGGCAGCUAUUGAUCGUCAAUAUACUGAGUC
RNAcentral lists this long non-coding RNA (564 nucleotides) under Helianthus annuus (common sunflower). Lineage: Eukaryota; Viridiplantae; Streptophyta; Magnoliopsida; Asterales; Asteraceae. The record is from RNAcentral.